Molecule: non-coding RNA, 107 nt
Organism: Acanthosepion pharaonis
Lineage: Eukaryota; Metazoa; Mollusca; Cephalopoda; Sepiida; Sepiidae
Source: the annotation of a GenBank genome assembly
UUACAGCCAUAUCACAUUGAAAUACUGGUUCCAGUACGAUCACCGAAGUUAAGCAACGUCGAGCAUAGUCAGUACCUAGAUGGGUGACCGCUUGGAAAUUGCAGAUG